GGAAUAAAAGUCGUAACAAGGUCUCCGUUGGUGAACCAGCGGAGGGAUCAUUACUGGAAUCGCAAGAUCCCACAACCCCUGUGAACCUACCGAAACGUUGCCUCGGCGGGCGCCCGGCCCCGCGCCGGGCGCUGAGCCCGCCGGCGGCCCCCUACUCUUGUCUCUGCAGCGUGGCACCUCAGAGUCCCAGAAAACAAGUAAAAACUUUCAACAACGGAUCUCUUGGCUCUA
Molecule: unclassified non-coding RNA, 231 nt
Filed under: plant metagenome
Description: partial contains small subunit ribosomal RNA, internal transcribed spacer 1, and 5.8S ribosomal RNA
Rfam family: Eukaryotic small subunit ribosomal RNA (bases 1-53)
Source: RNAcentral